RNAcentral lists this ribosomal RNA (854 nucleotides) under uncultured marine bacterium. RNAcentral describes it as "bacterial SSU rRNA". It matches the Rfam family "Bacterial small subunit ribosomal RNA", at positions 36 to 887 of the family's 1533-position model. The record is from RNAcentral.
UUUUUUGGGAUCGCAGCUACCUGCAGUCGAGGGGUACAGAGAGUGCUUGCACUCUGCUGACGACCGGCGCACGGGUGCGUAACGCGUAUACAAUCUACCUUUUACAGGGGGAUAGCCCAGAGAAAUUUGGAUUAAUACCCCAUAGUAUAUAUAAGUGGCAUCGCUUAUAUAUUAAAGUUACGGCGGUAAGAGAUGAGUAUGCGUCCUAUUAGCUAGAUGGAGUGGUAACGGCACACCAUGGCAACGAUAGGUAGGGGCCCUGAGAGGGGGAUCCCCCACACUGGUACUGAGACACGGACCAGACUCCUACGGGAGGCAGCAGUGAGGAAUAUUGGACAAUGGGCGGAAGCCUGAUCCAGCCAUGCCGCGUGCAGGAAGACUGCCCUAUGGGUUGUAAACUGCUUUUAUACAGGUAGAAACCUCCUUACGAGUAGGGAGCUGACGGUACUGUAAGAAUAAGCAUCGGCUAACUCCGUGCCAGCAGCCGCGGUAAUACGGAGGAUGCAAGCGUUAUCCGGAAUCAUUGGGUUUAAAGGGUCCGUAGGUGGAUAAUUAAGUCAGAGGUGAAAGUCUGCAGCUCAACUGUAGAAUUGCCUUUGAUACUGGUUAUCUUGAGUCAUUAUGAAGUGGUUAGAAUGUGUAGUGUAGCGGUGAAAUGCAUAGAUAUUACACAGAAUACCGAUUGCGAAGGCAGAUCACUAAUAAUGUGCUGACACUGAUGGACGAAAGCGUGGGGAGCGAACAGGAUUAGAUACCCUGGUAGUCCACGCCGUAAACGAUGGUCACUAGCUGUUCGGACUUCGGUCUGAGUGGCUAAGCGAAAGUGAUAAGUGACCCACCUGGGGAGUACGUUC